UACGUAGGGUGCAAGCGUUGUCCGGAAUUAUUGGGCGUAAAGAGCUCGUAGGCGGUUUGUCGCGUCUGCUGUGAAAACUCGGGGCUUAACUCCGGGCCUGCAGUGGGUACGGGCAGACUAGAGUGCGGUAGGGGAGACUGGAAUUCCUGGUGUAGCGGUGAAAUGCGCAGAUAUCAGGAGGAACACCAGUGGCGAAGGCGGCUCGCUGGACCGGUUCUGACGCUGAGGCGCGAAAGCGUGGGGAGCAAACGGG
Molecule: ribosomal RNA, 253 nt
Filed under: uncultured bacterium
Lineage: Bacteria
Description: partial 16S ribosomal RNA
Rfam family: Bacterial small subunit ribosomal RNA
Source: RNAcentral